RNAcentral lists this long non-coding RNA (308 nucleotides) under Ictidomys tridecemlineatus (thirteen-lined ground squirrel). RNAcentral's name for it is "lncRNA (ENSSTOG00000034032.1)". Lineage: Eukaryota; Metazoa; Chordata; Mammalia; Rodentia; Sciuridae. The record is from RNAcentral.
CUAGGACGGAGUCCAAGGCCUUCCCUGUCCAGAGGGGAGAAGCCAACGUGAACAAAAGCCCUCCAGCAUCCUUAUCCAAAGUCCUCCGACCAAACAGGCUUGGGUUUAAGGGUUUCUGACUUCACCCAGGUAACAGGAUUCAGGACCUGGAGCUCUGCAGAAUCCGUGCGUGGAGAUCGGACGAGGGAGCAGACCUACAUCUGACACAAGGAGGUGAUGCUGAGGGGAAAAUCUUGGGGUCACCUGCUUUUUUAAAAAUUUUCCAACUUCGAAUUAUGGGCAUUUGUAAGCUUUCACAAAAGUAAAGA